UGGGGAAUAUUGGACAAUGGGCGCAAGCCUGAUCCAGCCAUGCCGCGUGAGUGAUGAAGGCCUUCGGGUUGUAAAGCUCUUUCACCCACGACGAUGAUGACGGUAGUGGGAGAAGAAGCCCCGGCUAACUUCGUGCCAGCAGCCGCGGUAAUACGAAGGGGGCAAGCGUUGUUCGGAAUGACUGGGCGUAAAGGGCGCGUAGGCGGUUCGUUGCGUCAGAUGUGAAAGCCCCGGGCUCAACCUGGGAACUGCAUUUGAUACGGGCGGGCUUGAAUCCAAGAGAGGGUGGUGGAAUUCCCAGUGUAGAGGUGAAAUUCGUAGAUAUUGGGAAGAACACCAGUGGCGAAGGCGGCCACCUGGCUUGGUAUUGACGCUGAGGCGCGAAAGCGUGGGGAGCAAACAGG
This 404-nucleotide ribosomal RNA is filed under the name uncultured bacterium. Its description in RNAcentral is "bacterial SSU rRNA". It matches the Rfam family "Bacterial small subunit ribosomal RNA", at positions 355 to 776 of the family's 1533-position model. The record is from RNAcentral.